GUCAAGGUGCCGGAGUGGUUAACGGGUUCGCCUGCUACUUUCCUGUCUCGGAAACUUGUCAGCGGAUGUCUUCGGACGCGCAGGUUCGAAUCCUGUCCUUGACG
Non-coding RNA from Peziza echinospora, 104 nucleotides. Lineage: Eukaryota; Fungi; Ascomycota; Pezizomycetes; Pezizales; Pezizaceae. The record is from the annotation of a GenBank genome assembly.